GAGAGAGAGAGAGAGAGAGAGAGAAGCAGAACCUGUCUUGUUCCUUCGGAUAGGUAGGGAUUCCGGUCAGUAAUAGGAAGAAGCACAUGCUUGAAGGCCGUAUACAAGUCUGCCGUUGGGGCGUUGCCAGUGUCUUGCACCUCUGCCUUUGCGGUCAGGCUUGCUGCAACAGAAGAGGCCAAUCAGCUAAAUGUAUGUAAAGCAUUUCAUUAUUAACUAUCAAUUGCACGAACAAUACGAUUGAGAAAAUUUGACAGAAUUAUAGACGGCCACACCCCCCGAGUAACCCAAAGCCUCAAAGACUCGGAGUUCAAGUAAAUCUGAAGAAACAAGAUGAGCACGGUUCAUGCUCAAGAACACCCACUUAAGCGAAGGCAAAAAAAAAAAAAAAAGAAAAAAACGUGUAUAGCAUAUUCAUCUAUAUAUGAAAAAAAUUACUCAUGCAAAUAUCUAGAGGAGGACCGCAACCAAUCGCAUAAAAGAGGUAAAAACCUUUUUCAAUGCAAGCAUAUUGUACCAGAGAAAAGACCAGAAGAUCCUGGGCAAUGCUUGUAGGCACUUCUCUAUGUUGAAGGCACUCCCUAUGAAAGAAUUCUUCAGAAAGCUCUUGACAGGAAACAGAAAGCAAUCACAUGUUCCAUCGCAACAGUGCGAAGCUAUAUGAGAGUCAACGCGAGAAACCCAUUGUAUUUUAAAGACUUGUGCUAAAAUAUAGUUCUCUCGAUAACUCAUUGUAUGAAAACAACACCAUUUCUCAACAACUUCCAGACAUGAUGCGAUUGCUCACAACCUCGAGAAACAGGAAACAGCUCUAAAAAUUACAUUUUGAGGCAGAAAAGAAAUAGGGACACUAGACCGAAAUGAUAUGCCAGGGGAUAAUCUCCCCUCAUUGGUAAAAGAAAUCAUAGAAAACCUGGCAGAUAUUGACAGCCAAAAGCGUUUUCCUAGAUAAAUCGAUGGUGAGUAUAAUUUUCUCUCGAGAUCAUUCAAAUGAAACCCAUCUCGUUUCGUUCAGAUCUGAACCUCUUUUCCUAUAAAUUCGAUGCCCGCGCCGCGUGGUCUGAACUCAUAACUCGCUUUCCUUGAAUAUAAUCAAAAUCUUGCAAUUGUUUAUAUCUUCCCCAAACAUAUGACGCACUGACCGAGCCUAAGUAAUAAUGUUUAACUCUCCUAGAUUAGGAGCAUAAUGUGAAGCAAUGCCCGUAUCUGGUUUAUCGGCCUCCAAAUUGACAAGUUCUAGGCGAGUUAGUUCCACACGGCUCUCCACAUGUCUCCCCCAAAAUAAUCCACCGGUCUUUUCCCAUGGUUUUCAAAACAAACUGUACACAGUAACAUCCAUAAUGACGAGAAUAGGGUGGCGUUUCUCUGAUCACCUCCUGCCCCUGUUUCUAAUGUUCUCCACUCCCCAACCCCGAGAAACUAGUCCCCAUCAAGCCAAGCCCACUGGGGAGGCCUCCUCAAAGCCAACUCGGGUCUGUGUGCGAGGUAUGAUGGGAUGUUUCACCCACCGUUCAAAAUCAGCGCACAAAGCCGUAUCCAUGAGUGAAAAAUUUUAUGCAACCAGUACUAACACGGUGGGAGGGAACUAGCACCGUUUCCAAACGCCUGGAGCACCAAAAACAUUGAAUACUACAUAUAAAAAACCCCAUACAUAAGACAUCGCCAUGAAUUUCUCUGCCAAUAUCUUCAGCCCAGCUUUCUCCCUUGAUUAAAACACUGUUUUCUUUCCAUUAAGAGGAAGGAAUCUGCUCGUCCCCUAUCAUAUCAACUUCUACAACUUCAUCAGAUUCUGAAUUGAUGGAGCUCACAACAGUAGAUCUUUUCUCGUGGACAUUUUAUCAGCAAACUCAAGCGCACUUUUUGCAUCUCACAUGUCGUCCCUGGAUCAGGCACUAGUAUUUCACAUGGUCGCCACGAAGGUGGACUGUAGAAGAUUCGUUUAAGCGAAAAAUAAUGUUUCUAGUAAAACAUGCAAUAUGUGACGGUGAAGGUCGGCAUGCCUAUCGUGAGAAAACUCGCAAAGUUUUUUUUUUUUAAUGUCUGAUCCAUGAGUAGCAAGCGUCGCCAUUGCCGAGGAAAUUAUGCCCUCUACGAGCAACUAGAUGGAGGCGCGAUGAUUGUCGUACCAAAUGCCAUUCUUCACGACUUACACACCGCAAAAAAACCAGCAGACGGCAGGGUAUUGUACUUCUACAAGCAAGAAUAGAUAAGAUCAUACUAUUUCCGGGAAAGAAAAUAGAAAGCAUGUUCAGCUUUCUUUCGCACUGAAGACCUUUCACUUUAGGGCACUCAGUCGGAAAAUCCUUUCAAGACGUACUACAUAAAAGGCAUUCCGAAAGUAUACUGUUCUUCCGACCAGUACUGUGACCUGGACCAGGGCAAGGAAAAAUUCAGAGUGAUGGCACGAAAUUUCACGGGCUUUUUCCCUGGAAGACUCCGCAUCAAAUGGUCCAAGUCCCUCAUCAACUCUCCCUGCUCCAAUAUAACCCGAGAUUUCGCCCCCCAGACUCCCCUCCUCCCCCCCCCUAAAACCACCCCUAGCCCAUCAGAAACGCCUCUGCCCGACGAAAAAUUCCAAUUCGAAAAGAGGAAUAAGAAUCACCUCUGUCCAUUCUUGUUCGGAAAGCGGGGAGAUCCGCCCUCCUUGCCCGAAAAGGAGAGUGGCAAUGAGUUAGAAGAUACGCUCCUCCAUCACCUCCGCGCACAGGGAUCGCCGGUGGAGCCAAGCGAACCGAGCUGCCGACGGAGAUGGAUAGCAGAGAGUUGGCAAUGGCCAUCACAGGAGAGAGCAAUGUCACCGAGAAGGGCGAGGGGAGAGCACGGCAGUGGCGGGGGGAAGAGAAGGAACACUCGGGAUGAACCCAGGAGAGGCGGCGGAGACCGUUGUGGGCUC
This 2893-nucleotide long non-coding RNA is filed under the name Spirodela polyrhiza (greater duckweed). RNAcentral's name for it is "long non-coding RNA (SPOL_LNC000565)". The record is from RNAcentral. Lineage: Eukaryota; Viridiplantae; Streptophyta; Magnoliopsida; Alismatales; Araceae.